CCACCUGGCGACAGGAGCGAAUCCCAAACCACGUCUCAGUUCGGAUCGGAGUCUGCAACCCGACUCCGUGAAGCUGGAUUCGCUAGUAAUCGCGCAUCAGCCAUGGCGCGGUGAAUACGUUCCCGGGCCUUGUACACACCGCCCGUCAAGCCAUGGGAGCCGGGGGUACCUGAAGUCCGUAACCGAAAGGAUCGGCCUAGGGUAAAACUGGUGACUGGGGCUAAGUCGUAACAAGGUAUC
This 240-nucleotide ribosomal RNA is filed under the name uncultured bacterium. RNAcentral describes it as "partial 16S ribosomal RNA". It matches the Rfam family "Bacterial small subunit ribosomal RNA", at positions 1250 to 1500 of the family's 1533-position model. The record is from RNAcentral.